GACGAACGCUGGCGGCAUGCCUAAUACAUGCAAGUCGGGCGAACAGAUGAAGUGCUUGCACUUCUGACGUUAGCAGCGAACGGGUGAGUAACACGUAGGAAUCUACCUAUAAGCGGGGGAUAACAUUCGGAAACGGGUGCUAAUACCGCAUAAUAUCUUCUUCCGCAUGGAAGAAGAUUGAAAGACGGCUCUGCUGUCACUUAUAGAUGACCUUGCGGUGCAUUAGUUAGUUGGUGGGGUAACGGCCUACCAAGACGAUGAUGCAUAGCCGACCUGAGAGGGUGAUCGGCCACAUUGGGACUGAGACACGGCCCAAACUCCUACGGGAGGCAGCAGUAGGGAAUCUUCCGCAAUGGGCGAAAGCCUGACGGAGCAAUGCCGCGUGAGUGAAGAAGGCCUUCGGGUCGUAAAACUCUGUUAUAAGAGAAGAACAAAUUGUAGAGUAACUGCUACAGUCUUGACGGUAUCUUAUCAGAAAGCCACGGCUAACUACGUGCCAGCCGCCGCCGUAA
Molecule: ribosomal RNA, 512 nt
Filed under: uncultured bacterium
Lineage: Bacteria
Description: partial 16S ribosomal RNA
Rfam family: Bacterial small subunit ribosomal RNA
Source: RNAcentral